This 117-nucleotide ribosomal RNA is filed under the name Caldifarciminota bacterium. RNAcentral describes it as "candidate division WOR-3 bacterium (hot springs metagenome) partial 16S ribosomal RNA". It matches the Rfam family "Bacterial small subunit ribosomal RNA", at positions 1 to 118 of the family's 1533-position model. Lineage: Bacteria; Pseudomonadati; Caldifarciminota. The record is from RNAcentral.
CUAUGGAGGGUUUGAUCCUGGCUCAGGGCUAACGCUGGCGGCGUGUCUUAGCCAUGCAAGUCGAGCGGGCCUGUGGGGUUUACCUGCAGGUCAGCGGCGGACGGCGGAGUAACACGU